This 253-nucleotide ribosomal RNA is filed under the name uncultured bacterium. Its description in RNAcentral is "partial 16S ribosomal RNA". It matches the Rfam family "Bacterial small subunit ribosomal RNA", at positions 524 to 776 of the family's 1533-position model. The record is from RNAcentral.
UACGUAGGGAGCAAGCGUUGUCCGGAAUCAUUGGGCGUAAAGCGCGCGUAGGUGGUCCCGUAAGUCCGCUGUGAAAGUCAAAGGCUCAACCUUUGAAAGCCGGUGGAUACUGUGGGACUAGAGUACGGAAGAGGCGAGUGGAACUCCUGGUGUAGCGGUGGAAUGCGCAGAUAUCAGGAAGAACACCAACGGCGAAGGCAGCUCGCUGGGACGGUACUGACGCUGAGACGCGAAAGCGUGGGGAGCGAACAGG